ACAAUUUUAAUUAAACAUAACAACAAUACAAAUCAAAGAGAAAUCAAAAUAUGCAACACUUGAACUACUGGUUGCUGAUGAACAUAGCAACAACACAAAUCAAAAUACACAAAAGUAUCUUCCUAUUGAACCUACACCAUUUCAACCUUCUAUUGAGUCUCCUCUCCAAUAACAAAUUAGAGUUCCUCAAGUUGUCAAUAUGAACCUGUCUAAUACAUAAUUCUUGCUCCAACUCAUUGAUUUUGUUCACCAAUCUUGGAAGGAUAAAACUUGAUCUUGGAUCCACUUCU
RNAcentral lists this long non-coding RNA (290 nucleotides) under Solanum tuberosum (potato). RNAcentral's name for it is "long non-coding RNA (STUB_LNC006679)". The record is from RNAcentral. Lineage: Eukaryota; Viridiplantae; Streptophyta; Magnoliopsida; Solanales; Solanaceae.